Juglans regia (Persian walnut) is the source of this 2752-nucleotide long non-coding RNA. RefSeq lists it as uncharacterized. NCBI's taxonomy places the organism in Eukaryota, Viridiplantae, Streptophyta, Magnoliopsida, Fagales, Juglandaceae. The record is from RefSeq and is a predicted model, not a curated record. The transcript is spliced from 3 exons.
UCUUCCCCAUUUCCACAAGUCUGACAUCAACGCGUCUUUGAUUCUUUAUUAAUUUCCAAACUCUGAAAGGGAGUGAGACAGAGAGAGCUGGCUGCACGAAGUUCAUGGAUAUGGGGAGGUGGGGAAGGAAAUUACCAGGCGUUUUCGGUACACCUUCUUUCUUUCCCGAACCACCCAUUCCGCAAAUUUCCUGUGGUUCCUCUCCCUUUCCUCUCUACUCUCUACUCUCAUAUGAAAAACUGCAAUAUCUUUGUUCCUUUCUCUAUGUAUAUAUAGAGGGUGAUUGUUGAGAGAGGUGAAGGAGGAAGAGCGAAGGGGAAAGUGAGUUAUGGAAUUUCUUCGGAAUGGGAUGGCAGGAAAGAAAAUAAAUCUGUUCGUCAGAAACAUAUUUUUUCUUUCCUAGUCCUCCCAUUCCAUUGGUUUCCUGCUAUUCCUCCCUUUCGCUUACUUUUCCUGCUUGGGUUGAUUGGUUCAGUCUAUUUCGAUUCGGGGUAUAUCAAGAAUGUUCUCGUCAUUUAGGAUUUGGUUUAAGUUGGAAACCAAGAUCUUAAAAUCAAAAGGAGAGGAAAUCCAGAGUGGAAAAUGAUCUAUAUGUAAUAUUUUGUACAACAUAUUACAUAAUAAUAUUUUAAAUGAUGGAUAUUUUUGUAAAAUAUCUUAUAAAAGUAAUAUAAUUUUAUAAAAAUAUUUUUAUUUUAUAAUAUUAUUAUGUAAUGUGUUGUAUAAUGUCUUUUGUGUAUAUCAUUAAUGGAUUUUUUUUUUUAACUUUUUGUAUGUGAGGACCACAAUAAUUGAUAGAGAUUGGCUGGUUGUAAAUGUUAAGAAUAUAAUAUAAAUAAUAAAAUUUAACUUUUCAUCAGUUUUAGAAAUAAAUAAUAAAUAAAUAGCAUUAGAAUAGAAGUUUUGAAUUUGAACUUUAACUAUACAUUUGUCUAUUUAAUUAAAUAUUUUACGAGUUGAACCUGCUCAUUGAAAAAGAGAUUGGCCCAUAUGUGAGAGAGUGCGUUAAGAAUAUGAUAUAAAUAAUAAAAUUUAUAUUUUUUAAUUAGUUAAAGUUUUUGAAAUAAGUAGUGAUUUUAUAAUAAAUAUUUUUAAUAUUAUUAUAUAUGUAAAGGAUGUAAUUGAAGUGAUAAAUCAAGGCUAAUUUGUAUAGUUUAUUUAGGCACUCAUGGCAUAAGGAAGGAAGACCAUAUGUUAGGCCUUGAGAACAUAAAAAACUUUGAAGGUGAUUCUCAUCCUCACAAGCAUCCAAUUUCACGACAACGAGAGCGAGAGUGGAGUGGACAACCAUGACGUACGGCAUGCAGGAUCGAUGGGAACUAGAUAAUGAUAUUUAAUAUAAUUAUAUAUUUUAAGAUUUAGUUUAUAAUUAACUAAUGUAAUAGAAAUUAUAUAUAUUCAAAUUAUUUGCAUAACCGUCAUUCAUUAAAAAAAAAAAAAACACUUAUAAAAAAAUAUUCAAUUGGCCUGCAAUUCAUCCCUAUUUGAGAAUUCUACAAUAUUCCACUUGGCGCGAGUCCUAUUUAAUAUAAUAUAUUGAAAAUUGAGAAAUGCAUGUCCUAAUUAAUUACAAUGUUACCAGAUUGUAAAAGCACUCGAAUAUUAAAAAGUGUUAGAUGAUAAAAGGAUAAAUAAGUUACAUGUCGUUUAUGUUUAUGUUUAUGUUUAUGUUUAUAUUUUUAUUCUUUAUUCUUUAUUAUACACAGCUGUAAAUACAUGUUCCCUUUUUACUUUCUGUAAGUUUGUUAAUAUUUGCUUUACUUUCUGUUAGUUUGUUAGAGCUCCACUGGGUAUAUAGGCUACGGCUUCUAUCUUGUUGAAUGUAAGAAUACAAUAUUAAAUAUACAGAGGAAUUUCUUUCCAGAACCUCCAAACGCUCUCUGUUUUUCUUCUUGUUACCAAUCACUCACAUGGUAUCUAAGAGCCAUUGAGAGCAAAAUGGAGUUCUCCAAAUCAAAUACUCCACCCGAUUCACCAACCCACUCAAAUCCCCUUACAAACCCUCCCUCUUGAUAUCUCAAUCUUGCAGAUCCUACAAAUCCUUACCGUUUAGAUCAUGGCGAUAGUCCUUCAAUCACCCUUGUUGCCGAUCUACUCACUACCGAAAAUUACACAACCUGGUCCCGUUCGAUGAAACGUGCCUUACGCGCUAAGAAUAAGCUAGGUUUCAUCGACGGCACCUUAACCAAACCCAAUUUUCCCGCUGGUCCUUUAAUCGACCUCUGGAAUCGGUGCAACGACAUGGUAGUGUCAUGGAUUCAAAACUCCAUCACUACCUCUCUCAAAUCCAGUGUUGCCUUUGUCGACGAUGCCUACGAAAUUUGGAUGGAUCUUCAUGAGCGGUUGUCUCACCAAAAUGGGCCCCGAAUCUUCCAAUUGAAGAAAGCUUUGGCUUCUCUUUCCUAAGAAAAUGACUCGGACCUACAUUCUUGGACAACGAUUGGGAAGGGUGACCUGCUGCAUGGACUCUACCAUUUUCAUUGUUCUGCCGUGCCAUCUACUGCCCUCACCAAUUACUUUUCCACUUAUAAACACAAACCACACACAAAUCCCACUUUUUCUGCUUCUGUUACACAAAAUAUCACACCAUACAACCUAUGGCAUUGUCGCCUAGGUCACUUAUCCAAAAAUAGGCUUCAAUUAAUUCAUGAUCUUCCUGUAAACACUCACAGAUCUCUUACUAAUGAAAUACCUUGCACUUUGUGUCCUUUGGCAAAAUUUAACAAAUUACCUUUUCCUGAUAGUGUUCAUG